Long non-coding RNA from Maniola jurtina (meadow brown), 146 nucleotides. RefSeq lists it as uncharacterized. The record is from RefSeq and is a predicted model, not a curated record. Lineage: Eukaryota; Metazoa; Arthropoda; Insecta; Lepidoptera; Nymphalidae. The transcript has 4 exons.
AGUAACUAAUCAAUGCAUUUAGGUGGAUGCGACGGGUCUGCCCGCGAAAUUCAAAUUUAAUUUGGUUUUUCGCAAUUUGUAAAUCAAUAGGACAAAGUAGGGUUAUGGCACUUUAACUGCACCAAUGGCAGUAUCAUCCUCACAGG